UGGAGAAGGAUCCAGUGCCCUUUCCCAUGCUGCUGACCAUGUAACCUGGUGCUGGACUUGUGAAGCAAAGGAGGAGAUCUGGAGAGAGCUUCAGGAGCUGCAAUCACAGUUGUGGCCCUAAGUCAAGCAUGAGGGGACCAAAGUAGCCAGCAGACAGUAUCAACUUCCAGUUUAAUGGAGCUAUUGCUGGAUCUCCUUAGCAGAAGCAUCUAUCCCUUGGGAACUAAGACUUCUAGAAAGUUGCAGACUGCUGUAUUAGCAUUUGGGCUGGGCUCUCAGAGGGAAUGGCUGUGUUUCCCAACAACCCUGGACGACUUCACUUGUCAAGUAAUCUACCAGCAUUUUCCUGGCUCUCUUUGGACUGACCUAGAGUUUCGGGGUGGAAAGGGGACGGCACGUGAGUCAGAGCCCAGAACUCUGACUGGUGACCUGGCAAGCUGAAUAUUUACUCAUCUUACUUUGUGGAAGAUGCACCACCUAAGAGAUGAAAAAGGCAUCGGGGGCAGAUCGCAAUCGACUAUUCCUGUUGUGGAAAUGAAAGGGGCAGUCAUUUGGCAUUUUCCCCUAAAUUAGUAUUUUAAAAUUAGCAAGCCAGUCACAUGAACUUCAACGUAUUGGAAAAAUGUUGGAUUCCAAAGAAGAGCUUCCCAUUUCCUCUCUGCCUCUUUAGAACGAGUAACAUUUAAAGAAUUUUCCCUUUUUUAGAAUGUAAGAUUUCUACAUCAGAGCUCAUUUUUCUCUCCAUAAUUUCUCUCUAUUGGAUGUUAAAGAAAGCUAAACUGAUCUCCCUAAUUAUUGAUAGUUUGGGAAUCUCAUUCAUUCAGUCAACAAACUUAGUGGUCACUGUGUGCCAGGACCUCUUCUAAGGGCUAUAAAGUAACUGGAAUAUAUUAUAGUGACACAGCAUGAUUUAUUUAAGCUACUACAUUUAAUUUUAUUCCUUUCAAUUCCAUCUCUUCCUUGUUUUUUCUCUCCAUCUAUCUCCACGUUUUCAUACAAGGAAAACAUGAAAAGCACAUAUAUGGACCAACGAGAUUUGAUUAGUAAGCAUUUUGAGGACACUAGCCCCAAAUGAAGAUUUUAAUUCAAAAUGGGGCUCCUUCUAGAUUCUGUGCCUGGGAUGAUUUAGAAAAAAACAGCUUAAGUUAUGUUCCCUGGAGCAAUGAGAGACCACUGUUGUCAAAUGGACUCUCACAUUCAUAGACAAAAGGUGGAGUUAAUAAAGCCAUCACAAAGAAAUAUACAAAGUUGCCUGUGCCUCUGGAGAAAUACUUGGUUGAGUCAUUCGUGGCAUCAAAUUAGAUCCUGGGUUUGUUCUGCAUCUCUUUGUUUUGCAUCUCUUAGGUACUGUUAAUCUGAAAAGGAGAGAAGGCAAAUGCCACUGUCUCCCAUCAAUACCUCUCCCCUGUACCAAGUGCAUCAACCCUAAGAGAUAACACUAAAAACUUAUCACCGAGAAAGUUGAAGAUUUGUUGUAAAUUAUCUUAUCAUCUGGGGAUCCAUACUCACUUUUUAAACAACGCUUUCAAUAAUAUAGAAUAACAGAAACAAAAUAUCUUUUCCUUGCAAGUAAA
Molecule: non-coding RNA, 1574 nt
Organism: Kogia breviceps (pygmy sperm whale)
Lineage: Eukaryota; Metazoa; Chordata; Mammalia; Artiodactyla; Physeteridae
Source: RefSeq, a predicted model, not a curated record